RNAcentral lists this ribosomal RNA (555 nucleotides) under uncultured Chloroflexota bacterium. Its description in RNAcentral is "bacterial SSU rRNA". It matches the Rfam family "Bacterial small subunit ribosomal RNA", at positions 346 to 916 of the family's 1533-position model. Lineage: Bacteria; Bacillati; Chloroflexota. The record is from RNAcentral.
AGGCAGCAGUAGGGAAUAUUGCACAAUGGGCGAAAGCCUGAUGCAGCAACGCCGCGUGUGCGAUGAAGGCCUUCGGGUUGUAAAGCACUUUUCUGAGGGAAGAGGAAGGACGGUACCUCAGGAAUAAGUCUCGGCUAACUACGUGCCAGCAGCCGCGGCAACACGUAGGAGGCAAGCGUUAUCCGGAUUUACUGGGCGUAAAGCGCGUGCAGGCGGUUUGGUAAGUUGGAUGUGAAAGCUCCUGGCUUAACUGGGAGAGGUCGUUCAAUACUGCCAGGCUAGAGGACGGUAGAGGAAGGUAGAAUUCCUGGUGUAGUGGUGAAAUGCGUAGAUAUCAGGAGGAAUACCAGAGGCGAAGGCGGCCUUCUGGGCCGUUCCUGACGCUAAGACGCGAAAGCAUGGGUAGCAAACGGGAUUAGAAACCCCGGUAGUCCAUGCCGUAAACGAUGCAAACUUGGUGUUGGUGGUGUAAAAGCCAUCAGUGCCGUAGCUAACGCGAUAAGUUUGCCGCCUGGGGAUUACGGCCGCAAGGUUAAAACUCAAAUGAAUUGACGG